RNAcentral lists this long non-coding RNA (244 nucleotides) under Homo sapiens (human). RNAcentral describes it as "HSALNT0282790". Lineage: Eukaryota; Metazoa; Chordata; Mammalia; Primates; Hominidae. The record is from RNAcentral.
GGUCGGUCCGCCUGCUGUUAAGAUGGCGGCGGAGGCUGAUGUCUGUCCGGCCAGGACCCAGCACAGAGGUGUUGGCUAUCUGCCUUUAUGACGCCUCUGAGGUGCCCAGCGUUAAGGAGGUGACGAUUGGCGAAACGCCGGGGUGCCGGUAAACUAGACCUGAGGCGAAGACCACCUCGUUUCUUGUCCGUUGAGGCGACACCAUUUCCUGGGCCUCGGCCGCGUGUGGGCCCGCCUUUGCCCC